RNAcentral lists this ribosomal RNA (194 nucleotides) under uncultured bacterium. RNAcentral's name for it is "partial 16S ribosomal RNA". It matches the Rfam family "Bacterial small subunit ribosomal RNA", at positions 337 to 522 of the family's 1533-position model. The record is from RNAcentral.
UCCUACGGGAGGCAGCAGUAGGGAAUCUUCGGCAAUGGGGGCAACCCUGACCGAGCAACGCCGCGUGAGUGAAGAAGGUUUUCGGAUCGUAAAGCUCUGUUGUAAGAGAAGAACGUGUGUGAGAGUGGAAAGUUCACACAGUGACGGUAACUUACCAGAAAGGGACGGCUAACUACGUGCCAGCAGCCGCGGUA